Molecule: ribosomal RNA, 816 nt
Filed under: Borreliella garinii
Lineage: Bacteria; Pseudomonadati; Spirochaetota; Spirochaetia; Spirochaetales; Borreliaceae
Description: bacterial SSU rRNA
Rfam family: Bacterial small subunit ribosomal RNA
Source: RNAcentral
GCGUCUUAAGCAUGCAAGUCAAACGGGAUGUAGCAAUACAUCUAGUGGCGAACGGGUGAGUAACGCGUGGAUGAUCUACCUACGAGAUGGGGAUAACUAUUAGAAAUAGUAGCUAAUACCGAAUAAAGUCAAUUAAUUUGUUAAUUGAUGAAAGGAAGCCUUUAAAGCUUCGCUUGUAGAUGAGUCUGCGUCUUAUUAGUUAGUUGGUAGGGUAAAUGCCUACCAAGGCGAUGAUAAGUAACCGGCCUGAGAGGGUGAACGGUCACACUGGAACUGAGAUACGGUCCAGACUCCUACGGGAGGCAGCAGCUAAGAAUCUUCCGCAAUGGGCGAAAGCCUGACGGAGCGACACUGCGUGAAUGAAGAAGGUCGAAAGAUUGUAAAAUUCUUUUAUAAAUGAGGAAUAAGCUUUGUAGGAAAUGACGAAGUGAUGACGUUAAUUUAUGAAUAAGCCCCGGCUAAUUACGUGCCAGCAGCCGCGGUAAUACGUAAGGGGCGAGCGUUGUUCGGGAUUAUUGGGCGUAAAGGGUGAGUAGGCGGAUAUAUAAGUCUAUGCAUAAAAUACCACAGCUCAACUGUGGAGCUAUGUUGGAAACUAUAUGUCUAGAGUCUGAUAGAGGAAGUUAGAAUUUCUGGUGUAAGGGUGGAAUCUGUUGAUAUCAGAAAGAAUACCGGAGGCGAAGGCGAACUUCUGGGUCAAGACUGACGCUGAGUCACGAAAGCGUAGGGAGCAAACAGGAUUAGAUACCCUGGUAGUCUACGCUGUAAACGAUGCACACUUGGUGUUAACUAAAAGUUAGUACCGAAGCUAACGUG